RNAcentral lists this RNase P RNA (409 nucleotides) under Novosphingobium sp. RNAcentral describes it as "RNase P RNA component class A". It matches the Rfam family "Bacterial RNase P class A". Rfam says of the family: Ribonuclease P (RNase P) is a ubiquitous endoribonuclease, found in archaea, bacteria and eukarya as well as chloroplasts and mitochondria. Its best characterised activity is the generation of mature 5'-ends of tRNAs by cleaving the 5'-leader elements of precursor-tRNAs. The record is from RNAcentral. Lineage: Bacteria; Pseudomonadati; Pseudomonadota; Alphaproteobacteria; Sphingomonadales; Sphingomonadaceae.
CCGGGGAGCCGGGCAGCCGCGUCAGGCCUUGGGAAACCGAGGCAUGCCGAGGAAAGUCCGGGCUCCGCGAAACAAGGGUGGCGGGUAACGCCCGCCGGACGCAAGUCCAGGGAAAGUGCCACAGAAAGCAAACCGCUAACCGGAGCAAUCCGGCAGCAAGGGUGAAAGGGUGCGGCAAGAGCGCACCGCGCGGCUGGUAACAGUCGCGGCACGGCAAACCCCACCCGGAGCAAGACCGAAUAGGGGCUGCGCGCCGCAAGGCGGGUCGGUUUCGGACCCAUGCAGCCCGGGUUGGUUGCUGGAGCGGCGCAGCAAUGCGUCGCCGAGAGGAAUGGCUGCCCCCGCACGGCAGGUCCCCCUGGGGAUACCGCGGGCGGGACAGAACCCGGCUUACAGGCUCCCCGGCAAA